This is a long non-coding RNA of Ictalurus punctatus (channel catfish), 1829 nucleotides long. NCBI's taxonomy places the organism in Eukaryota, Metazoa, Chordata, Actinopteri, Siluriformes, Ictaluridae. The record is from Ensembl.
UGAUAACAGUGACUCCACAGUCGGUUUUAUGCAUUACACAUUCAUGUUCACACUGUAAACAUUCUGUGCAGUGGUGUAUUUAUAGACGCUUCAUUUGUUCAUUGUUUCCAAGAAACGCAGCCUGAGCCCUAAAAGUGAAAGUAAAAGUACCAGAUAAAAAACAAGCUGUGGCUUGCAUUUUGUCCACCAACGAAUUCAGUCCAGAGCGUGUAACUCGGCUGAGAUCCCCCUUCAAAAUGACCCAAGGUAUGUGUUCUUGAUAAAAUCUUAUUGCAUGAUAUUAUGUGAUAUUGUGCUGAUCCUGUUGAACCAUUUGCUCUGUGAAUGCGACUUGAGAAAUUGAAGCAUUUGCAUGUUUUCAGCCCAUUCCAUUAACCCUUUAUUUCCACAGUUAAUCAUGUAAAAGCUUCUUCUUUUUUCCUGAUGCACAUUCUUUCCAGCGAUAAUCAGAGUUUUUGUCAAGGUCCUUGGGAACACCAUGAAUUCCCACAAGACCUUCAUGGAGCGUCUGACAAUUUCACAAAAACUUCGUGAAGUGAAUUCGGUGAACGACAGUGAUGUCAUCAUUGCUUUUGUCCCAAUUGUGUCUCGAGCUGGAACUGACAUUGGAGCUGCAAUGGCCAAAAUUCCUCAGGAUAAGCCUGUCGUUUUUGUGGCGCUCCACCACACGUUUAAUCUAGAUGAAAUUGUUCCAGACAGCAGACUCUGUGUAAACACAGACAGAGUGUUUGCUGUAGAUUGUCUCUAUCAUGAAGACCAAGGUCUGCUGAAUUGCCGGCACAAUGACGAUGCGAUCAGAGCCGUGAAGAAGCACCUGAGAUGCGACGACCACACUGAGGACGACUCCAGCUGGGCAAGCCGUUUUUGGCUCAAACUACGUAAAUCCGAUGCAGAAACUGGGGGGGCGAUCCACCCUCAAUUUCCAAGCCAUGGUGCGUCACACGCCCCUGCUGACUUCCGAAGUUACAACAACGUAAAUAUGAUGCAGAAACUGGGGGGGCGAUCCACCCUCAAUUUCCAAGGCAUGGGUGCGGACAAGGCCGAAUUUAUUCCUUGGUUAUGCGCCGUGCUGAGCAGCUUUCUUUUUUACUUUGUUCUGCCAGAAGGGUACAGCUUCUUCCACUUCUUAAUUUUGGAGAUAUUUCUGAUGAUCAUAUCUGGGUCCCUGAGGUACUACAGCAAGUAUCUCAAAAAUAGCAAAUACCACCUUGGGAAGUGGACUCCUUGGAUUUUUACUGGUAUGAACGUUGUCCUCAUGCUUGUCACAUAGUCCCUCCGAGGAGUCUGUGCAUGAGUUGAAUAAUGCCACUGAACACAGUCAAAACAUGUGAUACGGAUAAUAUUGCUUUGCCUGAUAUUGUGGUAUGUGGUUUAGAAAACUUGUUAAUAUUAAAUAAACACUUCUCUGUUCAAUAAUAAACUAUAGGAAUGGGGACAAAAAUGUGUUCAUUUGUGGUUUUGUUAAAAGUUCAAAUUAAAAGAAGUGAAUUCAGGAUUAAUAGAAAGAUUUGAUUUAAGAUUAAAUUAAAAAUAAACUAAAAUUAAAUGAAAUAAAUCAAAUGAGUAAAAUACACAGUACUGUGCAACAGUCUUAGGGACUCUUUGUUUAGCAUAAAUUUUGUUAUAGAUAUUUAUUUGAUGAAUUCUGCUUUAUCGAGUCAGUACAGAAACAUUUUAGAUCUCCAAACAUUACUUAUCCAAAAGUAUAAUGUUGCAGAAAAAUAUUUACGUUAGAAGAGAAAGCAACGUAUUACAUAAGACACCACUUUUCAGAGAAAUAAACAUAAUGAAGGCGGCUGGGUUUUGCAUGCGAAAAAGAAGAAGAAGCA